RNAcentral lists this unclassified non-coding RNA (307 nucleotides) under plant metagenome. RNAcentral's name for it is "partial contains 5.8S ribosomal RNA, internal transcribed spacer 2, and large subunit ribosomal RNA". The stretch from base 1 to 105 matches the Rfam family "5.8S ribosomal RNA", at positions 50 to 154 of the family's 154-position model. The record is from RNAcentral.
GAAAUGCGAUAAGUAAUGUGAAUUGCAGAAUUCAGUGAAUCAUCGAAUCUUUGAACGCACAUUGCGCCCGCCAGCACUCUGGCGGGCAUGCCUGUUCGAGCGUCAUUUCAACCCUCAGAACCCCUUGCGGGAUCUGGCGUUGGGGAUUGGCAUCCAGCCAGCCCCGAAAUCUAGUGGCGGUCCCUCCGCGACCUCCCCUGUGCAGUAGCGAUACCUCGCAGCGGGACAGCGGUCUGACCACGCCGUAAAACCCCCAACUUCACAAGGUUGACCUCGAAUCAGGUAGGAAUACCCGCUGAACAUAAGC